GAUGAAGAAUGUAGCGAAAUGCGAUACUUGGUGUGAAUUGCAGAAUCCCGCGAAUCAUCGAGUUUUUGAACGCAAGUUGCGCCCGAAGCCAUUCGGCCGAGGGCACGUCUGCCUGGGUGUCACGCAUCGUUGCCCCCCCAAACUCCGGUUCGGGCAGGGCGGAAGUUGGCCUCCCGUGCGUGCCUGCGCGCGCGGUUAGCCCAAAAGCGAGUCCUCGGCGACGAGCGCCACGACAAUCGGUGGUUUUUUUACCCUCGUUCCUCGUCGUGCGUGCCCCGUCGCCCGAACGCGCUCUUGCGACCCUUACGCGUCGCCUCGGCGGCGCUCCCAACGCGACCCCAGGUCAGGCGGGACUACCCGCUGAGUUUAAGCAUAUCAAUAAGCGGAGGA
RNAcentral lists this unclassified non-coding RNA (390 nucleotides) under soil metagenome. Its description in RNAcentral is "partial contains 5.8S ribosomal RNA, internal transcribed spacer 2, and large subunit ribosomal RNA". The stretch from base 1 to 122 matches the Rfam family "5.8S ribosomal RNA", at positions 35 to 154 of the family's 154-position model. The record is from RNAcentral.